This 253-nucleotide ribosomal RNA is filed under the name uncultured bacterium. RNAcentral's name for it is "partial 16S ribosomal RNA". It matches the Rfam family "Bacterial small subunit ribosomal RNA", at positions 524 to 776 of the family's 1533-position model. The record is from RNAcentral.
UACGGGGGGGGCAAGCGUUGUUCGGAAUUACUGGGCGUAAAGGGCUCGUAGGCGGCCAACUAAGUCAUACGUGAAAUCCCUCGGCUUAACCGGGGAACUGCGUCUGAUACUGGAUGGCUUGAGUUCGGGAGAGGGAUGCGGAAUUCCAGGUGUAGCGGUGAAAUGCGUAGAUAUCUGGAGGAACACCGGUGGCGAAGGCGGCAUCCUGGACCGAGAUUGACGCUGAGGCGCGAAAGCCAGGGGAGCAAACGGG